CUCCUACCGAUUGAAUGGUCCGGUGAAGUGUUAGGAUCGCGGCGACGUGGGCGGUUCGCUGCCUGCGACGUCGCGAGAAUUCCACUGAACCUUAUCAUUUAGAGGAAGGAGAAGUCGUAACAAGGUU
RNAcentral lists this ribosomal RNA (127 nucleotides) under uncultured eukaryote. Its description in RNAcentral is "partial 18S ribosomal RNA". It matches the Rfam family "Eukaryotic small subunit ribosomal RNA", at positions 1679 to 1801 of the family's 1831-position model. The record is from RNAcentral.